This 350-nucleotide unclassified non-coding RNA is filed under the name soil metagenome. Its description in RNAcentral is "partial contains 5.8S ribosomal RNA, internal transcribed spacer 2, and large subunit ribosomal RNA". The stretch from base 1 to 120 matches the Rfam family "5.8S ribosomal RNA", at positions 35 to 154 of the family's 154-position model. The record is from RNAcentral.
GAUGAAGAACGCAGCGAAAUGCGAUACGUAAUGUGAAUUGCAGAAUUCAGUGAAUCAUCGAAUCUUUGAACGCACAUUGCGCCCGCCAGUAUUCUGGCGGGCAUGCCUGUUCGAGCGUCAUUUCAACCCUCAAGCCCAGCUUGGUGUUGGGGAUCGGCACAGGCGCCCUCGGGCGCCCGCCGUCCCCUAAAUCUAGUGGCGGUCCCGCUGCAGCCUCCUCUGCGUAGUAGUUUUCUCCUCGCAAGGGCAGCUCGGUGGCGACCUCGCCGUAAAACCCCCAACUUCUGAAAGGUUGACCUCGAAUCAGGUAGGAAUACCCGCUGAACUUAAGCAUAUCAAUAAGCGGAGAA